AUUGAACGCUGGCGGAAUGCUUUACACAUGCAAGUCGAACGGCAGCACGGGGGCAGCCCUGGUGGCGAGUGGCGAACGGGUGAGUAAUACAUCGGAACGUGCCCGGUCGUGGGGGAUAACGUAGCGAAAGUUACGCUAAUACCGCAUACGAUCUGAGGAUGAAAGCGGGGGACCUUCGGGCCUCGCGCGAUCGGAGCGGCCGAUGUCAGAUUAGGUAGUUGGUGGGGUAAAGGCCUACCAAGCCGACGAUCUGUAGCUGGUCUGAGAGGACGACCAGCCACACUGGGACUGAGACACGGCCCAGACUCCUACGGGAGGCAGCAGUGGUGAAUUUUGGACAAUGGGCGCAAGCCUGAUCCAGCCAUGCCGCGUGCAGGACGAAGGCCUUCGGGUUGUAAACUGCUUUUGUACGGAACGAAAAGGCUCUGGCUAAUACCUGGGGCUCAUGACGGUACCGUAAGAAUAAGCACCGGCUAACUACGUG
RNAcentral lists this ribosomal RNA (484 nucleotides) under uncultured bacterium. RNAcentral describes it as "partial 16S ribosomal RNA". It matches the Rfam family "Bacterial small subunit ribosomal RNA", at positions 30 to 507 of the family's 1533-position model. The record is from RNAcentral.